GAUGAUGUGGAUUAAUUAGAUGCAACGCGAAGAACCUUACCUACCCUUGACAUGCCAGGAACCCUGAUGAGAGGUGGGGGUGCCCGAAAGGGAGCCUGGACACAGGUGAUGCAUGGUUGUCGUCAGCUCGUGUCGUGAGAUGUUGGGUUAAGUCUCGCAACGAGUGCAACCCUUGUCAGUAGUUGCCACUGGAAACGGGCACUCUAGUGAGACAGCCGGUGACAAACCGGAGGAAGAGUGGGGAUGACGUCAAGUCCUCAUGGCCCUUAUGGGUAGGGCUUCUCACGUCAUACAAUGGUGCAUACAGAGGGGUGCCAACCCGCGAGGGGGAGCCAAUCCCAGAAAGUGCGUUGUAGUCCGGAAUGCAGUCUGCAACUCGAGUGCGCGAAGUUGGAAUCGAUAGUAAUUGAGGAACUGCAUGGCGCGGUGAAUACGUUCCCGGGUCUUGUACACACCGCCCGUCUCACCAUGGGAGCGGGUUCUGCCAGAAGUAGUUAGCCUAACCGCAAGGAGGGCGAUUACCACGGCAGGGUUCAUGAAUGGGGUGAAGUCGUAACAAGGUAACCA
This 567-nucleotide ribosomal RNA is filed under the name uncultured bacterium. RNAcentral describes it as "bacterial SSU rRNA". It matches the Rfam family "Bacterial small subunit ribosomal RNA", at positions 935 to 1502 of the family's 1533-position model. The record is from RNAcentral.